GUAAACGCACAUACUCAACCUUAUUAGGAGUGUCCUCAUCAUUGUGUACAACUCCACCAAUAAAAAGCUUCAUAUCCAAAUCUUUUGCAUCUUCUGAGGGAUCACUACCACCUUCCAGGGAAACUCCAUCAGGCUGAAUCUCUUCCAAGUUACCAAUUUCAUCUUCAGAAUUUUCACUAGAAGUAGUCUUCUCUUCAUCUCCUUGCAUCAGCUGCUUCACAGAAUCAUUAUCCUCUAUCACUUCCUCAGCAGCAUUACUGUUCAUGACUUUUACUUUCAGCCCUGGAAUCUUAUCUUUAAGAAAAUUUAUCACACUUUUUAUCCCUUCCUCAGUUGCUACCUCAAUAUUUAUCCCCUUCUCCUCACUUCUCUCUGCCUUGACUUCAUUUCGCUGACCAUCUACUGCAGAAGCCGUCUCAACUUCAGAAGUGAAUGGGCUAUUACCAUAUUUAGAAUGUGAACUUGUGGAGUUUGUUGAAACUCCUUUAGCUCGCUGCAGACAUAUGACCUGCAUAACAUAUCUUUCAUCUGCAUCUUUGACCACAAAAAUUUCAAAUAAUGGAGUUCCAGGAGAUGCAGUGACCAACUGCCUGUAGCAAACAGUAUUUAUCAGCUCUUCCCACUGAAUGAAACAAUAAUAAAAGCCACAAAGAUUAUCACCUUGGACUGUAACUCCUUCCGACAAAUCUGCCCACUCCAGGAGUUAUUCGUACCAGUCUACCAAAGGGAUCAUCAGAAUCAGUUGAGUAGCCCACCCACCAACCUACCAAUCCACUGCCAGUAUAUUUACACAAUCUUGAAGCAUCAUGGUAUCGUUCUUCAUCUAUUGCAUUCUGCAACUUGGUCAUUAUUUCAGCAACACUAUCCUUUGAAGUAGUUUCUGCAAUGGCCAUUUUCAAUUUUGCAGCUUCUUGGAAGUCUUCCUUCUCAAUUGCAUCUUCAAGUUGGAACUUGAGUACGGAGGCGAAGCUUUCAGCUUGCUCAAUCUCAGAGAAAUGGCGACUCCAUCUAUUCCAAUCCCAAUCCAACGAGGAACUAGCAGCACCACUAAUGUUAGCGCUAUAAUUGUUAUUGUUACUACAACGGCAACACUGGAAAAUAGAGUUCUUGCGGUUAUUAUUUGGGAAGAAAGAAGACAUCUUGUUCUUGUUGCAGCGGUAAUAGUGAAUAGCAGUGUAGCCCCAACCAAAAACAAAGCUGAAAUUGGUGGAUUUCUUGGCUGAGAAAUCUAAGCAACAAAAGGGGCUGAGAUGGGGCACAGUUGCAGCAGCUUGCCCCAUCCCCCAUAUAUUUAGCGCUGUCAUCGGUCUCUCUGGGUAAGGGUUUUCUCAAUCUGGUAUGGUAAGAGUGGCGUUUCUGUUUGAGGAAAAAUAUUAUAAUUUUAAGGAUAAAACUUUCAGUGGCCAAG
This 1408-nucleotide unclassified non-coding RNA is filed under the name Hevea brasiliensis (rubber tree). Lineage: Eukaryota; Viridiplantae; Streptophyta; Magnoliopsida; Malpighiales; Euphorbiaceae. The record is from RNAcentral.